AUUGAACGCUGGCGGCAUGCCUUACACAUGCAAGUCGAACGGCAGCACGGGUGCUUGCACCUGGUGGCGAGUGGCGAACGGGUGAGUAAUACAUCGGAACAUGUCCUGUAGUGGGGGAUAGCCCGGCGAAAGCCGGAUUAAUACCGCAUACGAUCCACGGAUGAAAGCGGGGGACCUUCGGGCCUCGCGCUAUAGGGUUGGCCGAUGGCUGAUUAGCUAGUUGGUGGGGUAAAAGCCUACCAAGGCGACGAUCAGUAGCUGGUCUGAGAGGACGACCAGCCACACUGGGACUGAGACACGGCCCAGACUCCUACGGGAGGCAGCAGUGGGGAAUUUUGGACAAUGGGCGAAAGCCUGAUCCAGCAAUGCCGCGUGUGUGAAGAAGGACUUCGGGUUGUAAAGCACUUUUGUCCGGAAAGAAAUCCUUGACUCUAAUACAGUCGGGGGAUGACGGUACCGGAAGAAUAAGCACCGGCUAACUACGUG
This 486-nucleotide ribosomal RNA is filed under the name uncultured bacterium. RNAcentral describes it as "partial 16S ribosomal RNA". It matches the Rfam family "Bacterial small subunit ribosomal RNA", at positions 30 to 507 of the family's 1533-position model. The record is from RNAcentral.